GCAGACAUGGAGCUAACACUGAGGAAGCCAUUUCGGAUCGAAAUCUGGAAUUUAGUACGGAGACCUUAACACAGCCAUAAGCAGUUUUCAAUAGAAGGGAGCUGGAGUUUGGUUUAACAUUACCGGACGAAUCCAUAGGAACUAGCUGUUUCGUUGAUAGUUCCAUUAACUUUGGUGGUAGUUACUGCUCCGACGGUAUUUCUAAGGCUUCCUUCUCGAGAACAAUUUCCAAUUACCAGCUGGAGGAAGAUUGUGGGGCAACGGAUGUGACAUCGCAUGUAAGGGAAUUUAAUGGUGGUCUAAUAGAAGAGUCAAUGAGGAAAUAUUGUGAAGAUAAAAAAAAGUGUCAUGUUCGAGCCUGCUGUUGGAAUGGAGUUUUCAUCUACAGAGGAAGCAUUCCAGUUCUACAACAUAUACUCCUGGGUUUUAGGGUUCAGCGUCAGAUUAGGUGAUAACUACACAACCAAGACAAAGCAAAGGACAAUGCAAGAAUAUCUUUGCCAGCGACAGGGCAAUGGUGAUGAGACCAAAAAUUCAACAACCAGGUGUGGUUGCAAAGCAAUGAUGAGGGUGGCAACAAAUGAAAGCUGUAAGUGGUAUGUGAAAAAGAUUAUUGUUGAACACAACCAUGAUAUGGUUGAGAGUUGUGGAGAAAUUUUUUUUUGGCUUCACAUAGACAGAUAGACAGGCACACAAAGGAGAUGAUAAGGUAUCUAAGAGAGAACAAUGUUAGCCUUACAAGAGUAAAUUUAGUUAUGGGUAGCUUGUUUGGAUCAAUGGAUAAAGUUCCUUUCAGUAAGAAGACACUGAGAACUGUUUGUUCAAACAUAGCAAAAGAAGCUCUUGUCGAUGAUGUACAAAAAACUUUGCAGUCAUUCAGGGGAAAAUAUAUCCAGAGAUCCUAGGUUUGUUUUCACAGCAGAGUUAGAUGAAGACAACAUACUUAAUUCACUAAUGUGGACCAGUGGUAGAAGCCGGUCACUGUACCAGCAUUUCGGAGAUGUCAUAACUUUUGACACGACGUAUGAGACUAACAUAUGUAAAAUGUCAUUUGGCAUGUUUGUGGGUGUGAACAAUCACUUCCAGAGUGUCAUAUUUGCGGGUGUUUUGUUGACUAACGAGACCGCAGCGAAUUUUAAAUGGGCAUUUGAGGAAUUUGUAGCAAUGAUGGGGGGGAAGGCACCGCAAACAAUGCUUACAGAUCAGAGCUUGGCGAUGACAAUUGCCAUAAAGGAGAACUUGAAGAGUACUAACCAUAGGUGGUGCAAGUGGCACAUAUUAAGGAAGGCGCAAGAGGCCUUAGGACAUGUUCACAAGUUACAUAGCACUUUUAGUGAUGACUUCAACAAGGUAGUUAACCACAUGUUAACUCCUGAAGAAUUUGAAUCCGGCUGGGAUUAUUUGACCAAGAAGUAUGACCUAGCUGGUAACCCUUUCAUGACAAGAGCGUUUGAAGUGCGGGAGAAGUGGGCUAAGCCAUAUUUUAAUGAUAUUUUUGUGCAAGAAUGUCAAGUACUCAGAGGAGUGAGAGCGCAAACCAUGUGCUCAAAGUAUAUGUUCCAUGCAAGUCUUCAAUAAACAUGUUUGUCAGGCAGUAUACUAAGCUUAUUGACGAUAGAGAAAAGGCUGAUGACGAAGCCGAGAAAAACAGA
Lolium perenne is the source of this 1652-nucleotide non-coding RNA. The record is from RefSeq and is a predicted model, not a curated record. NCBI's taxonomy places the organism in Eukaryota, Viridiplantae, Streptophyta, Magnoliopsida, Poales, Poaceae.